Molecule: long non-coding RNA, 2219 nt
Filed under: Mus spretus (western wild mouse)
Lineage: Eukaryota; Metazoa; Chordata; Mammalia; Rodentia; Muridae
Description: predicted gene 11872 (ENSMSPG00010013973.1)
Source: RNAcentral
AGCUUUCAAGAGAGACACUGCAAACAACCACAUCUAUUCACAGAGGGAGAGUGACAUUUCUUCUUUCUUUGAGGGACAAGUGCCUGCCUCGUUACUUUCUGCCCCUGACAUUGUAGCUGCUGGUGAAUGUGUGGAGACAGGAAGUGCUUACUUGGCACACAGGUCCUGUGACUAGUGCUAUUGUCCAGCUGGAUGGAUGAUUCUCUUUCAGCCUCUCCAAGACACCCUGAGUUCCUUUGCUCUCCUGUCUCUCUCACCAUCUGAUGUUCUGUAUCUUUUGGGAACUCUCCCACCAAGAAACCAAUCACCAGAUGCAGCCUGACACUGGAUGAGAACUAUGAAGAAAUUGAAGCUUAUAGAAACUAGCUGGGCAUACCUGUCUGGUGUUUUGCUUCAGGACCAGUUUUGCUCUUGAUUAUUGCAUGAUGGGAUAGAUGGACUGUUUGAGAUCUGUAAGCAUUCUAGAGUGCACUUGAUGAGGAAGUGAGUAUCUGUCACUGUACUAUGUAGCUUAUUUGACCAUCUGUCAAGGUCAUGUAUCAGAGAAGACUGGAAAAGACUUGGAUGAGAAACCUCUAAUGUCUUCUCUCAACUUUAAAACUUUAAUUUAUUGUCUAGACACAUGCUGAGGUGACAGAAUGAUAUGGUCCUUCCCCUUUCUUGGUAUUUUCCUUGUUUUCUUUUCCUUUAAAGCAGAUGGUUUUUAUGGUGCUGACUGCCUCAGGAGAAAGACACUCAGCAAUCAGAAAUCUUCCUUCCUUCAGCUUUUCUGUUGCAAAAUGUCAGUACUUUCAAGGGAAAACGGGGAGCUUAUGGCAUAGACAAAACAUGCAAGCAGAAGAUCAAAGCAGUUUCUGGACAAAUAUGAUAAUGUACUUGGACUUUUGAGAAAAUACUGCUGACCUUGAGUUCAAUGAAUGGAGCAUGGAGAACUUAGUGUCGAGCAAGGUGCCUCCCACUCUAGGGAAAGAAGCACCUUACUAGUUAAGUAAGUCACAUGGAGGAAAGCUGAUUUGAAAACGAGGUGAGGGUCUUGAGAAUACAAAACAUAUCUGUUCAGAUAAAACCCUGGGAGACAUUAAAUCUCAGCAUGACAUGGUCUGGUGGGACUAUCCAGGGCACACAGGGAGAAUGAGUAUCAGAAAAUGCCAGGGUACAAGAGACAUUCCCUACUUGGUUGUUUUGUCUCAAGAUAGAAAUUAUUCAAAAGGUGAUAAUAAUGGCUCAGAAUUUUAUUCUGAGACCUGAAGGCUAAUCAAGCCACUGUUUGAAGAUUUCAUUUCACCUUGUCACCUUGCUUAUUUCCUGCCAUCUCCCAUUAAUUGAAAUCUAAACACACUUUGCUCCAAUGAGGAUUGUUUAAGGUAAAUGUUUUGAAUAGUCCAACUCUGUCCUUCAUAGGGUUAACUUGCUCAUUUUGAGAGAUCAUCCUCAUCUAUUCCCAUCAAUUAUUUUAAACACCCAAAAGAGCACCAAACAAACUAACAAAAGCAAAAUCCUCAAGAAAUACUUUCUUAUUUUUGAGUCUGAUAUGAAUGGAUCUCUUCUGUCUCCCUGGAGAAUGGAGAAAUGGUAGGUACCAUCAUUCCAAUCCCCUUUCUAAUGCCAUUCUUUACCCAUAGCUUGGACAGAUAGUAUCAUAGCAAGUGGGCUUCUUCUGAAGCAGUAUUAUAGAGUGAGAGAUUUAAGAGGAAAGGGCCUGUGAAUGAUAGAGAACAAGUAAGAGAGACAGGCAGGGGGAAGUUCACUUUAAAAGAGCAGUUUGAUGCUUCAUCGAGGAGAGACAGAAUGAGGGUUAGGUGGAGGGAUUCUGGAAUUCUCUGAAGUUCUGAACAAAGGUUGAGCAUGAGGCUCAGCAAAGGCAGAGUGUUGGGCUUCCUGACGAAGAAAAUAGCCCUUCGAACAGCAUCACUGUGCUCAGUGAUAAGCUUGGCGCAGCCCGGGAGAGGAUAUUGACAGGAGGUUGGGCUUGGUCCUGAGGGACCUGUAACUGCAGGAUAUCCACCAGAAGACUUCCUCAAAUCAGGUGCUGUUCUUGGAAGAGGAUUGGAGUGGUACACCACCAUGGCUUUCAAAGUUACCGCUGUUUACUUUUAAGCUAUAAUUCUUAUGUUUUUAUGGAUAUUGAUUUAGACUGGUUUCAUAAUUUCUCAAGAUGAAAAAUUGUAAAAUGGUUUGGGAAGAGAAAUAUAAAUAAGACUUGCCUGACUUAAAUUAUC